Molecule: ribosomal RNA, 200 nt
Filed under: uncultured bacterium
Lineage: Bacteria
Description: partial 16S ribosomal RNA
Rfam family: Bacterial small subunit ribosomal RNA
Source: RNAcentral
AGAGUUUGAUCCUGGCUCAGAGCGAACGCUGGCGGCGUGCUUAACACAUGCAAGUCGAGUGCGCGGUAGCAAUACUGGCGCACGGCGCACGGGUGCGUAACACGUGGGCAACCUGCCCUUGAGAGGGGGAUAACCCAGCGAAAGUUGGGCUAAUACCGCAUGAUAUUCCGAUGGCUGCGGCUGUUGGAUUCAAAGUCCGC